This 482-nucleotide ribosomal RNA is filed under the name uncultured bacterium. RNAcentral describes it as "partial 16S ribosomal RNA". It matches the Rfam family "Bacterial small subunit ribosomal RNA", at positions 30 to 507 of the family's 1533-position model. The record is from RNAcentral.
AUUGAACGCUGGCGGCAGGCCUAACACAUGCAAGUCGAGCGGAUGAAGGGAGCUUGCUCCUGGAUUCAGCGGCGGACGGGUGAGUAAUGCCUAGGAAUCUGCCUGGUAGUGGGGGAUAACGUCCGGAAACGGGCGCUAAUACCGCAUACGUCCUGAGGGAGAAAGUGGGGGAUCUUCGGACCUCACGCUAUCAGAUGAGCCUAGGUCGGAUUAGCUAGUUGGUGGGGUAAAGGCCUACCAAGGCGACGAUCCGUAACUGGUCUGAGAGGAUGAUCAGUCACACUGGAACUGAGACACGGUCUAGACUCCUACGGGAGGCAGCAGUGGGGAAUAUUGGACAAUGGGCGAAAGCCUGAUCCAGCCAUGCCGCGUGUGAAGAAGGUCUUCGGAUUGUAAAGCACUUUAAGUUGGGAGGAAGGGCAGUAAGUUAAUACCUUGCUGUUUUGACGUUACCAACAGAAUAAGCACCGGCUAACUUCGUG